AAUAAAUGGUAAUUCAUCUUCUAUGUAAGUUAGUACUUGUACUUAAAUGCUAAACGAAAUGAUUGUGCCUUGCAUGUUCUGCCUUAUAUGCCUUUCUAGUAGUUGUGCUUUCUGUUCUUCCUGGUCUCUUCCAUCUUCCAAAUAUGUAUGGGCUUGCUUGCAGUGCCAAGGUCUGAUUUUGCUCUCUAUGUAACACUCAGUGCCAUUUAAACUUAUCAAAGCUCUGUACUGAGCACAGCUAAGUGUGAACUUAAUGGAGACUAAUGUGGAUGCAAUGAC
This 279-nucleotide long non-coding RNA is filed under the name Gallus gallus (chicken). The record is from RNAcentral. Lineage: Eukaryota; Metazoa; Chordata; Aves; Galliformes; Phasianidae.